This is a long non-coding RNA of Lathyrus oleraceus (garden pea), 1571 nucleotides long. RefSeq lists it as uncharacterized. The transcript has 4 exons. The record is from RefSeq and is a predicted model, not a curated record. Lineage: Eukaryota; Viridiplantae; Streptophyta; Magnoliopsida; Fabales; Fabaceae.
AACUUCUUUAUAACAAUUUUAAGAAAAUGGAAUCGGGUUAUUAGAAUUAAUUUUAAUAACCAGUUAUAACAUAUGAUUUAUAUAUGGUUAUGACUUGGUUAUAUAAAUUAACAGUCUAGGAGCGUCUCUGUUCAUGGUUAUGAUUUCAUUGAAAUUAUUAUAACCCUGAAACCCUUAAUGUGUUUACUUCUUAUGUAUGUGUUUCUCACCGUUAGAAGAGACCCAUGAUGUCCAGAUUGAAUUUGAUAGGUUCCUAUUGAUGUUGUGUUCUAGAAGGAUGAAAUGAUUGACAUCAUUGGAGGGACAAAAGGUAAAGAUUAUGAAGGUGUUGUUACUCGUUGGGGUGUUACCCGUCUCCCCCGUAAGACUCAUAUGGGUUUGAGGAAGGUUGCUUGUAUUGGAGCAUGGCAUCAUGAGACUGUGACAAAAGGUAAGGGUUAUGAAGGUGUUGUUACUCGUUGGGGUGUUACCCGUCUCCCUCGUAAGACUCACAUGGGUGUGAGGAAGGUUACUUAUAUUGGCGUUUGGCAUCCUGCCAGAGUGACAAAAGAUAAGGGUUAUGAAGGUGUUGGUACUCGUUGGGGUGUUACCAGUCUCCCUUGUAAGACUCUUAUGGGUUUGAGGAAGGUUGCUUGUAUUGGUGCAUGGCAUCCUGCCAGAGUGAUAAAAGAUAAAGGAUAUGAAAGUGUUACUCGUUGGGGUGUUACCUGUCUCCCCCGUAAGACUCACAUGGGUUUGAGGAAGGUUGCUUGUAUUGGUGCAUGACAUCCUGCCAGAGUGACAAAAGGUAACGGUUAUGAAGGCGUUGUUACUCAUUGGGGUGUUACCCGUCUCCCUCGUAAGACUCACAUGGGUUUGAGGAAGGUUGCUUGUAUUGGUGCAUAGCAUCCUACCAGAGUUUCCUUCAUUGUUGCAAGGUCUAAUCAUAACGGUUACCACCACGAAACUGAGCUAAACAAGAAGGUUUACAAGCUCGACAAACAUGAAGAGACCUAUGAUGCCCAGACUGAAUUUGAUAGGGCUGAGAAAGACAUCACCCCAUGAGUGGUUUCCCUCACUCCAAUUUCUUUGAGAAGCAAGUUCCCAUUGAUGCUGUUUUCUAGAAGGAUGAAAUUAUUGGAGUGACAAAAAGGAAGGGUUACGAAGAUGUUACUCGUUGGGGUGUUACCCGUCUCCCCCGUAAGACUCACAAGGGUUUGAGAAAGGUUGCUUGUAUUGGUGCAUGGUAUCCUGCCAGGGUUUCCUUGACUGUUGCAAGGGAUUAAUAGGAUAUUCUCAAGUUAAGAGUGAUGCAUAAUCGCAUUGCAAUACUUUUAUUCAAGACGGUGUAAAAUAGUUUUCUUUUGUGCUUAUGUAUGCUAGUACGUUUGAUUUACAAUAAGGCUCUGGUAUUGUGACAUUUGGGGGCCAGAAUUCAUGUGUUUCUUUUGUACAUAUGUAUGUUGCUAUUGUGAUAUCGAGGUCGGGAUGCAUGUAUUUCCUUUUGUACAUAUGUAUGCGGAACUGUCAAGUCAACUAUUAUGUCUGGUAUUGUGACAUCAGGCCCAAAAAUCAUGCUUUUUAAAUUAUUA